This is a non-coding RNA of Sus scrofa (pig), 4379 nucleotides long. The record is from RefSeq and is a predicted model, not a curated record. Lineage: Eukaryota; Metazoa; Chordata; Mammalia; Artiodactyla; Suidae.
GCCUCUGGGAUGGCCUUCGGGGGCUGCCCUCGCGCGUGCCUGAACCAAUCUGCGCGGCGGCCCGCCUCUCCCUGCCGCCUGCACGCUUUCCUGUGUUUCCAAGGCGACUUCUCACGCAGGUUGGGGAUCCCCGAGUCCCGAGCGUCCCACCAAAGGCUGUGCUUGCGGCCCCAACUCUAUGGUUCCUCGGGGGCCUGCGGACCGGUGCAUGCCGGGCCGGCGGUGGGCGGGGCCCGGGCUCCUAUCAUGGCGGCGGCGGUGGCGGCGGCUGCUUCCCGAUUCUGGCUGUGGGCCGCCCUGCUUAUCCCUGCGGCCGCGGUCUACGAAGACCAAGUGGGCAAGUUUGACUGGAGACAGCAGUAUGUUGGGAAGCUCAAGUUUGCCUCCUUGGAAUUUUCCCCUGGAUCCAAGAAGUUAGUUGUGGCCACAGAGAAGAAUGUGAUUGCAGCACUGAAUUCUCGGACAGGGGAGAUCUUGUGGCGCCAUGUGGACAAGGGCACGGCGGAAGGGGCAGUGGACGCCAUGCUGCUCUACGGACAGGAUGCAAUCACUGUGUCCAAUGGAGGCCGGAUCAUGCGCUCCUGGGAGACUAACAUCGGGGGACUGAACUGGGAGAUGACCUUGGACAGCGGCAGUUUCCAGGCGCUUGGGCUGGUAGGCCUCCAGGAGUCGGUGAGGUACGUUGCGGUCCUGAAGAAAACCACUCUUGCCCUCCAUCACCUCUCCAGUGGGCACCUCAAGUGGGCAGAACAUCUCCCGGAAAGUGACAACAUCCACUACCAGAUGGUGUAUUCCUAUGGCUCUGGGGUAGUGUGGGCCCUCGGAGUCGUUCCCUUCAGCCACGUGAACAUUGUCAAGUUUAACGUGGAGGAUGGAGAGAUUGUUCAGCAGGUCAGAGUGUCGACUCCCUGGCUGCAAAGUCUCACUGGAGCCUGUGGUGUGGUGGAUGAGGCUGUCCUGGUGUGCCCUGACCCCAGCUCACGGUCCCUCCAGACCUUGGCCCUGGAGACAGAGUGGGAGUUGAGGCAGAUCCCCCUGCAGUCUCUUGACCUAGAAUUUGCAAGUGGAUUCCAGCCCCGGGUCCUGCCGACACAGCCCAACCCCAUGGAUCCUUCUCGAGCCCAGUUCUUCCUACAGUUGUCCCCGAGCCACUAUGCUCUGCUGCACCACCACCACGGGGUCCUGAGUCUGCUCAAAAACUUCCCGCAGACUGCCCUAGUGAGCUUCGCCACCACUGGGGAGAAGACGGUGGCCGCAGUCAUGACCUGCCGGAAUGAGGUGCAGAAGCCUAGCAGUUCUGAAGAUGGGUCAAUGGGGAGCUUCUCAGAGAAGUCCAGUGCACAGGAUUCGCUGGCUUGUUUCAACCAGACCUACACCAUCAACCUCUACUUGGUGGAGACGGGUCGGCGGCUGCUCGACACCACGAUCACCUUCAGCCUGGAACAGAACGGCACCCGGCCGGAGCGGCUGUACAUCCAGGUCUUCUUGAAGAAGGAUGACUCCGUGGGCUACCGGGCCUUGGUGCAGACGGAGGACCACCUGCUGCUUUUCCUGCAGCAGCUGGCAGGGAGGGUGGUGCUUUGGAGCCGCGAGGAGUCCUUGGCCGAGGUAGUGUGCCUGGAGAUGGUGGACCUCCCCCUGACCGGGGCGCAGGCUGAGCUGGAAGGGGAAUUUGGCAAGAAGGCAGCAAUUCAAGACGGCUUGCUGGGCAUGUUCCUGAAACGCCUCUCGUCCCAGCUCAUCCUGCUGCAGGCGUGGACUUCCCACCUCUGGAAAAUGUUCUACGAUGCUCGGAAGCCCCGGAGUCAGAUUAAGAAUGAGAUCAACAUUGACACCUUGGCCAGAGACGAGUUCAACCUCCAGAAGAUGAUGGUGAUGGUGACGGCCUCAGGCAAGCUUUUUGGCAUCGAGAGCAGCUCUGGCACCAUCCUGUGGAAACAGUAUCUCCCUAACGUCAAGCCCGACUCCUCCUUUAAGCUGAUGGUCCAGAGGACAACUGCCCAUUUCCCCCACCCUCCUCAGUGCACUCUUCUGGUCAAGGACAAGGAGACGGGGAUGAGUUCGCUCUAUGUCUUCAACCCCAUUUUUGGGAAGUGGAGUCAGGUGGCCCCUCCAGUGCUGAAGCGCCCCAUCUUGCAGUCUUUGCUUCUCCCCAUCAUGGAUCAAGACUACGCCAAGGUGCUGCUGUUGAUAGAUGACGAGUAUAAGGUCACCGCUUUCCCGGCCACUCGGAAUGUCCUGCGGCAGCUCCAUGAACUCGCCCCUUCCAUCUUCUUCUAUUUGGUGGAUGCGGAACAGGGACGGCUGUGUGGCUAUCGACUGCGAAAGGACCUCACCACUGAGCUGAGCUGGGAGCUGACUAUCCCCCCGGAGGUACAGCGCAUCGUCACGGUGAAGGGGAAGCGCAGCAGCGAGCACGUCCACUCCCAGGGCCGCGUGAUGGGGGACCGCAGCGUGCUCUACAAGAGCCUGAACCCCAACCUGCUGGCCGUGGUGACGGAGAGCACAGAUGUUCACCACGAACGCACUUUCAUCGGCAUCUUCCUCGUGGACGGUGUCACCGGGCGCAUCAUCCACUCGUCCGUGCAGAGGAAGGCCAGGGGCCCUGUCCACAUCGUGCACUCGGAGAACUGGGUGGUGUACCAGUACUGGAACACCAAGGCCCGGCGCAACGAGUUCACCGCGCUGGAGCUCUAUGAGGGCACCGAGCAGUACAACGCCACCGCCUUCAGCUCCCUGGACCGCCCGCAGCUGCCCCAGGUGCUCCAGCAGUCCUACAUCUUCCCAUCCCCCAUCAGCGCCAUGGAGGCCACCAUCACGGAGCGGGGCAUCACCAGCCGCCACCUGCUGAUUGGGCUGCCUUCUGGAGCGAUUCUCUCCCUUCCUAAGGCCUUGCUGGAUCCCCGCCGCCCCGAGAUCCCAACAGAACAAAGCAGAGAGGAGAACCUGAUCCCAUAUUCUCCAGACGUACAGAUCCAUGCAGAGCGGUUCAUCAACUAUAACCAGACAGUUUCUCGAAUGAGAGGGAUCUACACAGCUCCCUCAGGCCUGGAGUCUACUUGUUUGGUGGUGGCCUACGGCUUGGACAUUUACCAGACUCGAGUCUACCCAUCCAAACAGUUUGACGUCCUGAAGGAUGACUACGACUACGUGCUCAUCAGCAGCGUCCUCUUUGGCCUGGUCUUUGCCACCAUGAUCACUAAGAGACUGGCCCAGGUGAAGCUCCUGAACCGUGCCUGGCGGUAGAGACCUGAGACCCACUGCCAGAGGCCAGAGAGGAGUGAGGGUCAGCUCAGAGGCUCCAGCUGCAGCUGACAUCACGGGGAGGAUGAGCCUUGGGCACUCAUCUCGGUUGAGAGUUGGGGGAAGAAGUUAGACUCUGGCGGAGACUCCUUUUGCGAUGCGUCUGAUGCGGCAUCAUCGGCGGGGGAUGAAGGCUGAACUGUCCCCCACCUGAGACCUCAAAGCAUCUUGGACUUUGCCUUGGAGCCCCAAGGCCAUUGCCCUGUUCCCUUUCUGUGCCCAUCCGUGAAUGCUGGUGUUUGAUAAGACCUCCAGCAGAGUGUUCUGUGGGAGGCCUGUUUAAAUGGAUUUGGGCUUGCCUUCCAUUUCCCAGGUUGAUCUAGAAAUCUUUCUGAUUGUUUCCCUGCUCCCUGCUUCAAAGUCAGAAGGGAACUCUCACCGACGACUCCGCCUUCUAGGGGAGAAAGAAGAUCUGUUCUUAGCUGAGGUUCGAGGACGGCUCCAGCCUCUCAUGGCUUCUCUCCAAAGGUCUACGAAUCUAUCUCUGGUGUCAGAACUUCUUUCACCUAAGCCUCCAGUUUCAGGUUCCCAUUCGCCCAGUCUUAGAUUCGGAUUAUCAAGAGCCAAGUAUGUUAUAGUGCCUUGGUUUGUUGGUCAGUGUCCAUGCAGCUGGGGCCUUUUAAACAGUGCUGAAUUAUGUGAACCUCGAAUUGGGUUCAAGGGAAGAAGGCAAAUCUCCCCGUUUCACAGUCCUCAGAAUCUCUCACUUCACCCAAAUCAGCUUCGAACCUAAUUAGAGAAGGUUGUCCUUAAGAACCUCCUUAUUUAUUUUUAGUUGUAAAUGAAUGUGUGGGUUACUGUAUUUUCUCUGAAAAACGAGCAGAUUUUAACUGAUCUUUACAAAAGGAAGGGAGAAAAGGGUAGGGGGAAGGAAACUGGCAUCUUGUGGCUGUCGCGUUGCUGACUGGCUGGGCUGUUGUCUCUGCUACAGACUAAAAGUGUCCUAAAGAGUUCCCUUGUUCAUGGAUUUGGGGAAUGAUGGGGGUUUUCUUUACUGGGAAGAAUGCAAUACACACAGACCCCUGUUGGAAGAGAAGUACAUUUACAUGUCUGAAUAAAGUGAGCGACAAAUGACA